This 465-nucleotide ribosomal RNA is filed under the name uncultured bacterium. Its description in RNAcentral is "partial 16S ribosomal RNA". It matches the Rfam family "Bacterial small subunit ribosomal RNA", at positions 28 to 507 of the family's 1533-position model. The record is from RNAcentral.
GACGAACGCUGGCGGCGUGCUUAACACAUGCAAGUCGAACGGAAAGGCCCUGCUUGCAGGGUACUCGAGUGGCGAACGGGUGAGUAACACGUGGGUGAUCUGCCCUGCACUUCGGGAUAAGCCUGGGAAACUGGGUCUAAUACCGGAUAGGAGGCAUUUUGAGGGUGAUGGUUGGAAAGUUUUUUCGGUGUAGGAUGAGCUCGCGGCCUAUCAGCUUGUUGGUGGGGUAAUGGCCUACCAAGGCGGCGAGGGGUAGCCGGCCUGAGAGGGUGGACGGACACAUUGGGGCAGAGGGAAGCGCAGGACUCCUAAGGGGGGCAGAACUGGGGAAAAUUGCACAAUGGGCACCAGCCUGAUGCAGAGACGCCGCGUGGGGGAUGACGGCCUUCGGGUUGUAAGCUCCUUUCGCUAGGGACGAAGCUUUUUGUGACGGUACCUAGAUAAGAAGCACCGGCUAACUACGUG